UACCACAGCUAUAUCACCCUGCAGCCCUAGACCUGCUACUCACUGAAGCUAAGCAGGGCUGAGCCUGGUCAGUACCUGGAUGGGAGAGCACAUGGGAAAACUAGGUAGCUGUUGGAA
Ribosomal RNA from Danio rerio (zebrafish), 117 nucleotides. Lineage: Eukaryota; Metazoa; Chordata; Actinopteri; Cypriniformes; Danionidae. The record is from Ensembl.